CAGUCGACGCAGCAUCGGGGCUUGCCCUGAUGGCUGAGUGGCAAACGGGUGAGUAACACGUGGGAACUUACCUUUUAGACUGGGACAACCACUGGAAACGGUGGCUAAUACCGGAUACGCCCUGAGGGGGAAAGCAGAGAUGCGCUAAGAGAGAGGCCCGCGGCAGAUUAGGUAGUUGGUGGGGUAAAGGCCUACCAAGCCGAUGAUCUGUAGCUGGUUUGAGAGGAUGAUCGGCCACACUGGGACUGAGACACGGCCCAGACUCCUACGGGAGGCAGCAGUGGGGAAUAUUGGACAAUGGGGGAAACCCUGAUCCAGCAAUGCCGCGUGAAUGAAGAAGGCCCUAGGGUUGUAAAAUUCUUUUGUUCGUGAAGAUAAUGACGGUAGCGGACGAAUAAGCCCUGGCUAACUCUGUGCCAGCAGCCGCGGUAAUACAGAGAGGGCAAGCGUUGUCCGGAAUGACUGGGCGUAAAGCGCGCGCAGGCGGUUUUUUAAGUUGGAUGCGAAAUCCCCGGGCUCAACCUGGGAACUGCAUUCGAUACUGGAAACUAGAGGCCGAGAGAGGAAAGCGGAAUGACGAGUGUAGAGGUGAAAUUCGU
Molecule: ribosomal RNA, 599 nt
Filed under: uncultured bacterium
Lineage: Bacteria
Description: bacterial SSU rRNA
Rfam family: Bacterial small subunit ribosomal RNA
Source: RNAcentral